AAAAGCUUCCAAUCUUCCCUUUGAUUCCCAUGUGCUUUUUCUUUCGAUUCGUGGUUCAUUAACGAGGUUCUCUACCGUUGUAGAAGCCUAAUGGUCCCAAACCACAGCCACCGAAAUCGUCUUCCAAGUCGCCCUCCUCAACUCAGGAUGAGAUCGAGAUAUGGCUGAGAGUCACCAAGAACAAAAGUACCAGAUAGAUCUGAUGCUCCUCCUGCUACGUUAAGAUCAUCCCCAGAAAGAGAUUUUGAGAUUGAAUAUGUGACCGUAGAUGCUAAAUCCUCCUCGGCUCUCUCUGUUUUGGUUUUUUUAAGUCUCUAUCUUGUCUCUCUUGUUUUCCUCUAUUUUCAUUCACUCAAGGACACAAAAAAGUGUGCUUCCACCUAUUUCUGGCUCGGGAGAACUGAAUAUCGCUACUCUUUCAGAGAUUGCAAAAAACAUGGUGGUAUCAUGAGAUUCAUUCAAGUUUCUUACUUAGGGGCAUCUCCAUCUUCUCCAUCUAGAUUGCUAAAAGCUAAAGCUGCAACAAAGGUAGCCGUUUUGACAGAAUUUCCAGAGGUCAAUUCUUUAGAUACUCUACUUCUCAAAACCUUUACAGUUCGAAGCUCUUAUACACAAUCCUAAAGUUGUUCACAAAUUAUUGGUGGUGUAUAUGGAUCAAUGGUUCCCAACAACUAGGUAAUGCAUAUCGGUCAAAAUAACAAUAUCAAUGAAGUACUAUUAUUGUUGUACAUGAUGAUAUGUGAAUGUAUAAAUACCAAGAAAUAAUUCACCUUGAAACAACUGUAAACCUUUGUUGGAUAUUCUGAAAUUAACAAACAACUCAUUAUUUUUCAUUGCAUGUAAAUGUUACCGUACAUCCCGCAUAAGGAAAUUGGCCUUCAAAAUGAUAAGCUGUAUAAGGUGUCCUUGGCACCUUGUGCAAAUCUAUAG
This is a long non-coding RNA of Carya illinoinensis, 930 nucleotides long. RefSeq lists it as uncharacterized. Lineage: Eukaryota; Viridiplantae; Streptophyta; Magnoliopsida; Fagales; Juglandaceae. The transcript has 4 exons. The record is from RefSeq and is a predicted model, not a curated record.